GGCUGGCAGGACAGGAAAUCAUAGAUUUGGACAUAUCUUGUAUUAUUAUAAUAUUCCAGGGUCUGGUUCUAAGCUUCUCAGUCUUUGCAAUCCUAUCGUAUUAGGGCACUUAAAGUUUAUUAAUAUCUCUGGAACUGACUACUAAAUUCACAAAAGGCUGGUGUAGAAACUAAAUUGCCACCUCAUUAAUUAGAACUGUAAAGGGAGCCAAAUACUCACUCCCUAAAAGGAAAUGGCCAUUGGCUGCCAAACUUUCAUUGGAAGUGUACUUGAGGAGCAUGGCAUUGCAGCAAAGGUAAUAGUUGGAUGAUCUGAGAAGCAGCUCUGUUUGACAGCUUGAUGUAUUUAUUUUCUGGGUCAGGGUACACCUGCCAAACUGACACAAAUACCCCUGCCAACAGGUCAGGAUAUACUCUUCUAAUCAAUGCAAAAGACACAUUAAUAAUGUGUCCACUCAUGGAUUUUCAUUUGUCUACACUUCUUAGAAACUACACUCAUUCUGUCAACACAAUCUUUCUUUAAACUGUUUAAAAUUGUUUAGAUUUUGGUAUAAUUACAGUUAUAUUCUAACCCAGCUUCAGAGUCUAUAUUCUUAUGAGAUCGAUUGGGCUCUAGCGUUCCCAAAUCUCUUUUACUUUCCCUGCUCCUAAUUAUUUAUAAUGCUUUUAUAGUUUCUCCAGCUCCAUCUGCAUGGAUCUUACUUCUAUGGCUGCUGACGUUACCACAACUCCUUUUACAAUUCCUACCAGCACAAUUUCUACCAGCUAACAGGUCAAGAGGAUUGGUUCCUUUUAAAGGAUGAAAGGAAAAAGGAGACAUGGCAAAUAAAAACCAUCAGAAUUGUAAGUAACCAAUUAAAGCUGAAUUCUGUCUUCUAAACAUACCCUGUUGUUAAAAUGCAUGUUUUGGGAAAUACUGAAUAGUUUGACGUCAGUCAAUGUUCUUCUCAGAGUUCAUAUGCGAAGAAGAGUUCAUUUUGUAUUAAAGCAAAUGCAGAAAACUAUCGUGGAGAGUGAUGUUCUCUGACCUGAGCGGUCUGUGCAGUCUAGAAAGGUCCCAUUGUGCAGUGUCUUGCAAUCUCAGCUUCAUCAGGUCCUGAAGUCUUGACCUGACGAAGGCUCUCUUCUG
Molecule: long non-coding RNA, 1128 nt
Filed under: Equus asinus (donkey)
Lineage: Eukaryota; Metazoa; Chordata; Mammalia; Perissodactyla; Equidae
Description: lncRNA (ENSEASG00005024037.1)
Source: RNAcentral